Molecule: unclassified non-coding RNA, 207 nt
Filed under: Hevea brasiliensis (rubber tree)
Lineage: Eukaryota; Viridiplantae; Streptophyta; Magnoliopsida; Malpighiales; Euphorbiaceae
Source: RNAcentral
AGAUCCAGACGGCUGGAGUGCUUGGAGUUUGUACCACCAUGAUACGAGCGGUGAUAGUGAUGAAUACUCAGGGCAAGCCUCGGUUUGCUAAAUUCUACGAUUUUCAGCCUGUAGAGAAGCAGCAGGAGCUCAUUCGGAGUGUCUAUGGAGUGCUUUGCAGUCGAGCUGAGAACGUCAGCAAUUUUGUGGAGGCCGAGUCCAUCUUUG